Long non-coding RNA from Apodemus sylvaticus (European woodmouse), 1666 nucleotides. RefSeq lists it as uncharacterized. Lineage: Eukaryota; Metazoa; Chordata; Mammalia; Rodentia; Muridae. The record is from RefSeq and is a predicted model, not a curated record. The transcript has 2 exons.
UGUAAUUUUAUGAGGUCCCAUUUGUCAAUUCUUGAUCUCUUGCUUGAAAGAACCCAGACAAGUGGACCAAUGGAAUAGAAUUGAAGAUCCAAAAAUGAAUCCACACACCUAUGGUCACUUGAUCUUCGACAAAGGAUCCACCAGUGGAAAAAAGAUAGCCUUUUCAACAAAUGGUGCUGGAUCAAUUGGAGGUCAGCAUGCAGAAGAAUGUGAAUUGAUCCAUUCUUAUCUCCAUGUACUAAACUUCACUCCAAGCGGAUCAAGGACCUCCAUGUAAAACCAGACACACUGAAACUAAUAGAAAAGAAACUGGGGAAGACCCUUGGGGACAUGGGCACAGGGGAAAAGUUCCUGAACAGAUCUCCAGUUGGUUUCUUAAGAACAUUUGCUUGGAAAAUUAAUUUCAAGCCUUUUACUCAGAAGUAGUGUCUGUCUUUGUGCCUGAGAUAUAACUGAGGAGGUUGUUUUCCCACUGGCCAAAUCUCAUGGCAAAAAGAAGAAGACUUGAUAUUAUUCCUGUUCAGACCAACAUUAUGUUAGCAGGAUCAUUAGCUUGGAACACAUGCGCAACAACACAAGAAAUCUGUGAAUUUCUCUUCCCAGCUUACCUUUGCUUCUCCUGCAUGUGAUACACACAAAUGGUACAAAGAGCUGAAGUUGUGUAGAAGUGAUAGUCAGGACAUCUACAGUGAUUUUUGAGGCUGGGUUCAAUAUUUCCAAAUGAAAGAACAUUAUCUCCUUGAUUCCCCAUCUGCUAAUAUACAGAACAUACCUGGUAAAGAUGGCUCUCCUCUCACAUAAAACUCAAGUAAAUCAGGUCAAGCCCUUGUUAUUAUGAAAACAGUAGUAUUGACAGCUGUGUUAAGGUAUAUUUGGACUCAUACUGUUCUUCCUUAUUCUCACUGCUUUAUUUGACUGAUAUCAAUGAUCCCAGUACCUUCCCUGUGCUAGAUAUUCAUUCUGUGGCAGCCCAUGAUUGUUUCCUAUGUGAACAGCCUGCCAAACAGUAGAUACAAAAAGACACUGAAAGGUACUGUCCUGUUUUUUAUGGCCCUAGGAAGGUUCAAAACACUUUGAAUAUAGAAAAAUCUUAUUUAUAAUUAUUUUUACAAACACAGUUUUAGGAAUUUAUAAAAUAUUUAAGGAAAUAAAAAGUGUACUUUCAUUAAAGGAAACUUAGAAGUGUCAUUUAGGGUAAACUUGUGUAGAAUCUACUUUAAUGCUUAAUUAAAUGUUAAAAUUCUCCACAGUACCCAUUUAUUGCUAAAUAAUUUCUGGAAGUUAAACUUACACUCAAAUAUGUGUGUGCAUAUUCUAUACACAUGUAUGAUGCAUGUUAACUAAGAAACUUUUUCUUUUGCUUUGUGUUUUUGCUUUUUGAGAUAGGAUUUUGCUAUAUAGCCCAGGUUAGCUUCAAACUCUUAAUCUUCUUCUAUUCUCUCCUGAGUGCAGAAAUUUGAUCAUGAAUCACCACAGGCAACAUGAAAACUCACCUUUCCAGUGACAGAUUUUCUUGUCACUCAACCACCAUGCAAUGUUCUGUCUGUUGUUUUCUUUAAGAAAUAUAUGUAUUUUUAUUAUCUUUUCUCUAUCUGGAAUAUUAUCAAAUACACACUGAAUUUAAUGUGUCAAAAUUCUUGACCCAUAAAAGGUUACCCCUGUUCCA